Molecule: long non-coding RNA, 157 nt
Organism: Amblyraja radiata (thorny skate)
Lineage: Eukaryota; Metazoa; Chordata; Chondrichthyes; Rajiformes; Rajidae
Exons: 2
Source: RefSeq, a predicted model, not a curated record
AUGGCCUACUCCUGCACCUAAUUUCUAUGUUUCUAUGUUAUGUGGAGAAGGCAGGAGAAUGGGGUUAAGAGGGAAAAAUAGAUCAGCCAUAAUUGAAUGGCGGAGUAGACUUGAUGGGCUGAAUGCCCAAAUUCUGCUCCGACAACUUUUGAACUUG